UAGUGAUACACCUUAUUGCACUAGAAAGCAGAAAGCUGCAUUAAUAUGGCAUGAACCAAAGAUGAUGGGAGAUCGUACCAUAUCUUCCGGCUCAAUUCCUCUUGCAGCUCUGUAAGGUGUUUCGAUCGAUCUGCUAAAUUGGAGGUGUGAUUAUAUUAUUUAAAACGUGAGAGCACGAACAUGUGUCUUUUCCGUAGUGCAGAUGUAUAAUAUAAUCAGAUUUUCAGCAGCUCUGGUUUAAGAGCUGGGAAAUGCACCACCAACAAGGAUGUUUAGUCUUUGUACGAUUUCUUGAUUAGCAGCAUAUUCUUAAGAUCAACCAUGAACUUAUCGACUUGGUUCUGAAGACCACUUCCUCCUACUUAUAGAGCCUGCACUAUCAUAAUCAUGCCACUCCAACUCCAUAUCUCCAACAACGACAGUGUCACCCUCUUUCACGCCAAGCUUGAGCAGAGAUUUAUUCACACCACAUGCUUCCAAAACGUGUUGAAAUCUUCUGUCUGAAUCCAUAUAUCUCCAGUUUGUCAUUUGGACGAAACGUUGCAGGCCUAAUCCUUGAACAUACCAAGUUUUGGAAGAACUAUCAUGGGAGAUCUCAAACUCGUUUAUGGGAGCAUUUCGCUGCUUUUUCACCAUGUCAGCAACAUAGUUCAAGUUUACUGGGUCCCUUCUCACUUCUUCUUUAGAAGCUUCUCUUCUACAAACAAGAUCAUAAGCAGCACAAAUAACAUCAUGUGUACCCUCUCUUUUCACUGCACUCAUGCAAAAAGGUUCAAUUCCACGAGAUCUCAGACUGUCCCUGAAUGUCUUCCAAUUCUCAUAUGCGUCUGGAAGGUCCAUUUUGUUGUAAACCACUAAAUAAGGUUUUUCAGCAAGUUCAGGGCUAAACAUUUCCAAUUCAAGACGAACAGCUUCAUA
RNAcentral lists this unclassified non-coding RNA (918 nucleotides) under Hevea brasiliensis (rubber tree). Lineage: Eukaryota; Viridiplantae; Streptophyta; Magnoliopsida; Malpighiales; Euphorbiaceae. The record is from RNAcentral.